RNAcentral lists this ribosomal RNA (253 nucleotides) under uncultured bacterium. RNAcentral's name for it is "partial 16S ribosomal RNA". It matches the Rfam family "Bacterial small subunit ribosomal RNA", at positions 524 to 776 of the family's 1533-position model. The record is from RNAcentral.
UACGUAGGGGGCAAGCGUUGUCCGGAUUUAUUGGGCGUAAAGAGCGUGUAGGCGGCCAUUCAGGUCAGCUGUGAAAACUCGAGGCUCAACCUCGAGACGUCGGUUGAAACCGUUUGGCUAGAGUCCGGAAGAGGAGAGUGGAAUUCCUGGUGUAGCGGUGGAAUGCGCAGAUAUCAGGAGGAACACCGAUAGCGAAGGCAGCUCGCUGGGACGGUACUGACGCUGAGGUGCGAAAGCGUGGGGAGCGAACAGG